CAAAGGUAGCGUAAUCACUUGUCUAUUAAUUGUAGACCUGUAUGAAAGGCAAAAUGAGAGCCCAACUGUCUCUUAUAACAAAUCAAUUAAACUGAUCUUCUAGUCCAAAAGCUAGAAUAUUUACAUAAGACCAGAAGACCCUGUGAAGCUUUAACUAACCUAUUAAACCUAAUAAUAACUACUUUCGGUUGGGGCGACCUUGGAAUAAAAAAGAACUUCCAAUCAUAUGACUUCUCAUAAAAUAAGGCAGACAAGCCACACUAGACCCAGUAUUACUGAUAAUUGAAAUAAGUUACUCCAGGGAUAACAGCGCUAUCUUCUUUUAGAGCCCAUAUCAAAAAGAAGGUUUACGACCUCGAUGUUGGAUCAGGACAUCCCAGUAAUGCAACCGUUACUAAAGGUUCGUUUGUUCAACGAUUAAUAGUCCUACGUGAUCUGAGUUCAGA
Molecule: ribosomal RNA, 446 nt
Filed under: Gloydius brevicauda (short-tailed mamushi)
Lineage: Eukaryota; Metazoa; Chordata; Lepidosauria; Squamata; Viperidae
Description: partial 16S ribosomal RNA
Rfam family: Bacterial large subunit ribosomal RNA
Source: RNAcentral